UAGUCUAAGGUCGUAGGAGGUUAUACAGGCAAAUCCGUAUAACAAUACUCCGAGAACUGAAAGGCUUUUUGAAGUCUUCGGAUGGAUAGAAGAACCCCUGAUGCCGUCGAGCCAAGAAAAGUUUCUAAGUUUAGCUAAUGUUGCCCGUACCGUAAACCGACACAGGUGGGUGGGAUGAGUAUUCUAAGGCGCGUGGAAGAACUCUCUUUAAGGAACUCUGCAAAAUAGCACCGUAUCUUCGGUAUAAGGUGUGGUUCGCUUCGUAUUAGGAUUUACUCCGAAAGCGAAGAAACUUACAACAAAGAGUCCCUCCCGACUGUUUACCAUAAACACAGCACUCUGCUAACUCGUAAGAGGAUGUAUAGGGUGUGACGCCUGCCCGGUGC
This 386-nucleotide ribosomal RNA is filed under the name Escherichia coli. Its description in RNAcentral is "partial 23S ribosomal RNA". It matches the Rfam family "Bacterial large subunit ribosomal RNA", at positions 1508 to 1869 of the family's 2925-position model. The record is from RNAcentral. Lineage: Bacteria; Pseudomonadati; Pseudomonadota; Gammaproteobacteria; Enterobacterales; Enterobacteriaceae.